UACUUUCGCAGCGCUUUAGGUUCCUGAUGUUGUCAUUAGGAUUAAAAGGGAAUACAGUGUAAAUCUGUAACUGUCCCGCAGCUGUAAGCGCUAUCAACCGGAGUCCAUUCUUAAAAAGUCACUGUUCGCAUGCGCGGAUGGGAAGACGGGACAAAGGGGCGCAAGUCAGAAUACCUGCCUCAGCAUUAUAUUAUUC
Molecule: non-coding RNA, 196 nt
Filed under: Mucilaginibacter sp.
Lineage: Bacteria; Pseudomonadati; Bacteroidota; Sphingobacteriia; Sphingobacteriales; Sphingobacteriaceae
Source: RNAcentral